GGAGAAGAUCAGAGUGUGAAAGAAAGAUUCAGUGACUCUGAAUGUGUUGAAAGGAGUUUUGGGUGGAGCUCUGCAGGAUUUGACAGAAAUGCUCAUCUGUCUGCAGUUUCAUUUGCUGUUUGUUGUGCAAAGAUGAUGCUUCACUGCUGUCUGCUGGUGUUGUCAGUAACACAAUAUACACUGGCACAGUCAAUAAGACCACUGCAGAGCGAUGUUUAUAUCACUGAGAGGACUCCAGUCAAGCUCUCAUGCAAAUAUGAUGGCAGUGUAUACAGUCUGCAUUGGUAUCCACAGUAUCCAGGAGCAAAACCUGAAUUUCUGCUUCUUGUAUUGAAGUCAGCUACAAAAUCUGUAACAUAUGCAGAUCCUAAAAUCCCCGGAAUGGAUGGGGAAAUGAGUAUAAGUGAACAACAAGUAGAUCUGGAGAUCUCCUCUGCUGCAGUAUCAGACUCUGCAGUGUAUUACUGUGCCCUGCAGCCCACAGUGACAGGAAACACACAAACACUGUACAAAAACUGUCUGUUCAUUACCUUCUCAUGCUUUCUAUUUGCAGACUCAACAAGAAACUGA
Molecule: non-coding RNA, 570 nt
Organism: Danio rerio (zebrafish)
Lineage: Eukaryota; Metazoa; Chordata; Actinopteri; Cypriniformes; Danionidae
Source: the annotation of a RefSeq genome assembly